UUUUGGAGUAUUUUGAUGUCAGAGAUAGGGACACUGAAUCUCUGUUGUGGUCAGAAGUGGAAUGCAUGCACCACUUCUCUUGAGCAGGAGCUGGAUGCCUCCUAGUUGCCUCCCUGACCAAGACCUCUUGGCUGUUCUUCAGUUUCCCUGGUCUAUUAGGUAUUUGGGCUCGCCUGGUCAGUGAAACAAGACUGAGGUCCUGACCCUGGGAUCCUCUUUCAGGAAAGCCCUGGGCUGAGCUGCCAAAGGAAAAUUGGGAGGCUUCAGACAGCAGCUGGACCUGUAAGAUGUGACUGAAAUGUUUUGGAAAUGGGAGAACGUUGGGCAACAAUCGCUUUAAAAGGAUAAUCAAGAACUUUAAGGUAUUCCUCCUCAUGUCCUUUUCUCUGCUGCAUUUGAAGGUGGGGGAGGUCUGUGUCUCACUCUUAGAAGCAUUAAUUCAAAAAAGAAAUAUUAAGGUCUAGUGGAAACAAUAUCAUGGGACUCCAUAGUUCUUUUUCUGGAUGUGGACAGCAUUUUCC
This is a non-coding RNA of Phascolarctos cinereus (koala), 521 nucleotides long. The record is from RefSeq and is a predicted model, not a curated record. Lineage: Eukaryota; Metazoa; Chordata; Mammalia; Diprotodontia; Phascolarctidae.